Molecule: ribosomal RNA, 231 nt
Filed under: uncultured bacterium
Lineage: Bacteria
Description: partial 16S ribosomal RNA
Rfam family: Bacterial small subunit ribosomal RNA
Source: RNAcentral
GAUCCUGGCUCAGGACGAACGCUGGCGGCGUGCCUAAUACAUGCAAGUAGAACGCUGAAGGAGGAGCUUGCUUCUCUGGAUGAGUUGCGAACGGGUGAGUAACGCGUAGGUAACCUGCCUGGUAGCGGGGGAUAACUAUUGGAAACGAUAGCUAAUACCGCAUAAUAGUAGUUGUUGCAUGACAACUGUUUGAAAGGUGCAAUUGCAUCACUACCAGAUGGACCUGCGUUG